CCCCUAGAUGUUCUGGGCCGCACGCGCGCUACACUGAACAGUUCAACAAGUCUUAACCUUGGCCGAUAGGUCUGGGUAAUCUUUGAACGCUGGUCGUGAUGGGGAUAGACUUUUGCAAUUUUUGGUCUUCAACGAGGAAUUCCUAGUAAACGCAAGUCAUCAACUUGCAUUGAUUACGUCCCUGCCCUUUGUACACACCGCCCGUCGCACCUACCGAUUGAAUGGUCCGGUGAAGCCUCCGGAUUGGCGCGCACCUCGGUGCCGCCGAGAAGUUGGCUAAACCUUNCNAUUUAGNGGAAGGUGAANUCGUANCA
This 314-nucleotide ribosomal RNA is filed under the name uncultured eukaryote. RNAcentral's name for it is "partial 18S ribosomal RNA". It matches the Rfam family "Eukaryotic small subunit ribosomal RNA", at positions 1470 to 1796 of the family's 1831-position model. The record is from RNAcentral.